CUGCAAGCUCCGCCUUCUGGGUUCAGGCCAUUCUCCUGCCUCAGCCUCCCGAGUAGCUGGGAGUAGAGGCGCCCGCCACCACACCUGGCUAACUUUUUGUAUUUUUAGUGGAGAGGGAGUUUCACCGUUUUAGACAGGAUGGUCUCGAUCUCCUGACCUCCUGAUCCACCCGCCUCUGCCUGCCAAAGUGCUGGGAUUACAGACGUGAGCCACCGCGCCCGGCUGUUUUCUUUUUUUUAACAGUAGGAAAACACAAGCGUGAAGCCUCCAUUUGGGAAGCCUGCAGAAGCCCCAAUCCAAUCACAGCACUGCCAGAGGAUCUUAGAAGUUGAAUAUCAAUUUAAUAACACAUCCUGUUUGAGAUUGGGUUCUAACUAUAUUGCCCAAGCUAGAUUCAAACUCUUGGGCUCAAGUGAUCCUCCUGCCUAAGACUCCUUAGUAGCUUGGAACUUCAGAACCAUCUGUCAAUGGCUACUUCAUACUUUAGAUGCUCCAAGAGGAAAAAGUCAUUUCAGAAUUGUAUCCAUAACCCAGUUUCAUUGAAGAUGGAGUCUUCCUUCAGAUUUUCUACAUAGACAAUUAUACCUCUGUGAACAAAGACAGUUUAUUUCUUCCUUCCCAGAGAUUGAGAGAGCAAGAAUCGUAGAUAUGAUAGCAACUACAAGAAACUUUGGCUCCAUUCUACACGACGGUUCUACCUCUGACUUAAAACUAGGCACCCUGCCACACUUCCUCCUGCUCCAGCAAUGUAAAACGUGCCUGCUUCCCCUUCACCUUCCACGUGACUGCAAGUUACCUGAUGCCUCUUUCGCCAGCUUUCUGUACAGCCUGCAGAACCAUGAGGAAUCACACCCCUUUUCUUUACAAAUUACCCAGUCUCAGACAUUUCUUUAUAGCAAUGCAAGAAUGGACUAAUACAGUAUCUGUGUAAAAUGGAGAUGUUUCCUAAGAAAGAAUAAACUCCUUUUGGUAUAAGUUAUGUGACUACAAGCAUACUUGGAUAUCUUAAUAUUUAAUCUGGGCCAGACAUACCUUGAUGUGGCAAGAAAGUAGCUGGAGAACUGUGUUGGUAGUCCUGGGGCUCUUCCUGCUUCUAUUGUUACCCAA
RNAcentral lists this long non-coding RNA (1107 nucleotides) under Homo sapiens (human). Its description in RNAcentral is "HSALNT0011664". The record is from RNAcentral. Lineage: Eukaryota; Metazoa; Chordata; Mammalia; Primates; Hominidae.